GAGGGGAGUGGAAUUCCCGGAGUAACGGUAAAAUGCGCAGAUAUCGGGAGGAACACCGAUGGCGAAGGCAGCUCCCUGGGAUGCACCUGACGCUAAGAGGCGAAAGCUAGGGGAGCGAACAGGAUUAGAGACCCUGGUAGUCCUAGCUGUAAACGCUGGGUGCUAGGUGUGGGACGUAGAAGUUCCGUGCCGGAGCAGACGCGAUAAGCACCCCGCCUGGGAAUUACGGUCGCAAGGCUAAAACUCAAACGAAUUGACGGGGCCCCGCACAAGCANCGGAGCGUGUGGUUCAAUUCGAUGCUACACGAAGAACCUUACCUGGGUUUGACAUGUACGUGGUACGAAGGCGAAAGCCUAAGGACCCUUCGGGGAGCGUACACAGGUGCUGCAUGGCUGUCGUCAGCUCGUGCCGUGAGGUGUCGGGUUAAGUCCCGUAACGAGCGCAACCCUUGCCCUUAGUUACAAGUGUCUAAGGGGACUGCCGGCGGGAAGCCGGAGGAAGGUGGGGAUGACGUCAAGUCAGCAUGGCCCUUAUGUCCAGGGCUACACACACGCUACAAUGGUCAGUACAAAGGGUAGCGAAGUCGCGAGGCGGAGCGAAUCCCAACAAAGCUGAUCGUAGUUCGGAUUGCAGGCUGCAACCCGCCUGCAUGAAGCUGGAGUUGCUAGUAACCGCGCGUCAGCCAUAGUGCGGUGAAUACGUACCCGGGGCUUGUACA
Molecule: ribosomal RNA, 719 nt
Filed under: uncultured organism
Description: bacterial SSU rRNA
Rfam family: Bacterial small subunit ribosomal RNA
Source: RNAcentral